GACGAACGCUGGCGGCGUGCUUAACACAUGCAAGUCGAACGGAAAGGCCCCUUUGGGGGUACUCGAGUGGCGAACGGGUGAGUAACACGUGAGUAACCUGCCCUUGACUUCGGGAUAACUUCAGGAAACUGGGGCUAAUACCGGAUAGGAAUCCUUGCUGCAUGGUGGGGGUUGGAAAGCUUCGGCGGUUUUGGAUGGACUCGCGGCUUAUCAGCUUGUUGGUGGGGUAGUGGCUUACCAAGGCUUUGACGGGUAGCCGGCCUGAGAGGGCGACCGGCCACAUUGGGACUGAGAGACGGCCCAGACGCCUACGGGAGGCAGCAGUGGGGAAUAUUGCACAAUGGGCGGAAGCCGGAUGCAGCAACGCCGCGUGCGGGAUGACGGCCUUCGGGUUGGAAACCGCUUUCAGCAGGGGCGAAGCUUGUGGUGACGGUACCUGCAGAAGAAGCACCGGCUAACUACGUG
Molecule: ribosomal RNA, 465 nt
Filed under: uncultured bacterium
Lineage: Bacteria
Description: partial 16S ribosomal RNA
Rfam family: Bacterial small subunit ribosomal RNA
Source: RNAcentral